Molecule: ribosomal RNA, 274 nt
Filed under: uncultured bacterium
Lineage: Bacteria
Description: partial 16S ribosomal RNA
Rfam family: Bacterial small subunit ribosomal RNA
Source: RNAcentral
AUACGAAAGGUGCGAGCGUUGUUCGGAUUUACGGGGCGUAAAGCGAGUGUAGGUGGUUUGUUAAGUCGGAUGUGAAAUCCCGGGGCUCAACCUCGGAACUGCAUUCGAUACUGGCAGGCUAGAGUUCGGGAGGGGUAAGCGGAAUUCCGUGUGUAGCAGUGAAAUGCGUAGAUAUACGGAGGAACACCUGAGGCGAAGGCGGCUUACUGGACCGAUACUGACACUGAGACUCGAAAGCGUGGGUAGCAAACAGGAUUAGAAACCCCAGUAGUCC